This 445-nucleotide ribosomal RNA is filed under the name uncultured bacterium. RNAcentral's name for it is "partial 16S ribosomal RNA". It matches the Rfam family "Bacterial small subunit ribosomal RNA", at positions 354 to 796 of the family's 1533-position model. The record is from RNAcentral.
GUGAGGAAUAUUGCGCAAUGGAGGCAACUCUGACGCAGCCAUGCCGCGUGCAGGAAGAAGGCGCUACGCGUUGUAAACUGCUUUUAACCGGGAAGAAACCCCAGGACGUGUCCUGGGUUGACGGUACCGGAGGAAUAAGCACCGGCUAACUUCGUGCCAGCAGCCGCGGUAAUACGAAGGGUGCAAGCGUUAUCCGGAUUCAUUGGGUUUAAAGGGUGCGUAGUCGGAGCGUUAAGUCAGUGGUGAAAUCCUGCAGCUUAACUGUAGACUUGCCAUUGAUACUGGCGCUCUUGAGUGCGCUUGAAGUGGGCGGAAUGUGCCGUGUAGCGGUGAAAUGCUUAGAUAUGGCACAGAACACCAAUUGCGAAGGCAGCUCACUAAGGCGAUACUGACGCUGAGGCACGAAAGCGUGGGGAUCGAACAGGAUUAGAAACCCCAGUAGUCC